UAUCCAUGGUGCGGGCAUUGUAAUAAAAGUAAUUUGAAGCAAUUCUAUGCUUCAUGAAAUGAUUCAAAUGUUCUUUUGAUAAAAAUUAGAAAUUUUUGCUCUGAUUCU
Ricinus communis (castor bean) is the source of this 108-nucleotide non-coding RNA. The record is from Rfam. NCBI's taxonomy places the organism in Eukaryota, Viridiplantae, Streptophyta, Magnoliopsida, Malpighiales, Euphorbiaceae.